CUACGGGUUGCUGCAGUGGGGAAUAUUGCACAAUGGGCGCAAGCCUGAUGCAGCAACGCCGCGUGAGGGAUGAAGGCCUUCGGGUUGUAAACCUCUUUUAGCAGGGAAGAAGCGAAAGUGACGGUACCUGCAGAAAAAGCACCGGCUAACUACGUGCCAGCGGCCGCGGUAAUACGUAGGGUGCAAGCGUUGUCCGGAAUUAUUGGGCGUAAAGAGCUCGUAGGCGGUUUGUCACGUCUGCUGUGAAAAUCCAAGGCUCAACCUUGGACUUGCAGUGGGUACGGGCAGGCUAGAGUGCGGUAGGGGAGAGGGGAAUUCCUGGGGUAGCGGUGGAAUGCGCAGAUAUCAGGAGGAACACCAAUGGCGAAGGCACAUCUCUGGGCCGUAACUGACGCUGAGGAGCGAAAGCGUGGGGAGCGAACAGGAUUAGAUACCCUUGUAGUC
Molecule: ribosomal RNA, 444 nt
Filed under: uncultured bacterium
Lineage: Bacteria
Description: partial 16S ribosomal RNA
Rfam family: Bacterial small subunit ribosomal RNA
Source: RNAcentral